UGGGGAAUAUUGGACAAUGGGCGAAAGCCUGAUCCAGCCAUGCCGCGUGUGUGAAGAAGGUCUUCGGAUUGUAAAGCACUUUAAGUUGGGAGGAAGGGCAUUAACCUAAUACGUUAGUGUUUUGACGUUACCGACAGAAUAAGCACCGGCUAACUCUGUGCCAGCAGCCGCGGUAAUACAGAGGGUGCAAGAGUUAAUCGGAAUUACUGGGCGUAAAGCGCGCUUAGGUGGUUUGUUAAGUUGGAUGUGAAAUCCCCGGGCUCAACCUGGGAACUGCAUUCAAAACUGACUGACUAGAGUAUGGUAGAGGGUGGUGGAAUUUCCUGUGUAGCGGUGAAAUGCGUAGAUAUAGGAAGGAACACCAGUGGCGAAGGCGACCACCUGGACUAAUACUGACACUGAGGUGCGAAAGCGUGGGGAGCAAACA
Molecule: ribosomal RNA, 427 nt
Filed under: uncultured bacterium
Lineage: Bacteria
Description: partial 16S ribosomal RNA
Rfam family: Bacterial small subunit ribosomal RNA
Source: RNAcentral